ACUGCCAACCAAGAACUGGCACUCGCAGCCUAAUUUAGGCUGAGACGUCGUUCCAUCUGAGGCCCGCGGGGGUGGAAUGGCGCGAUGCAGCGGGCUGGUUCCACGCCGGUGCUCAGCGGCGUGGGGCGAGACAAUACUGGGCUAGCGGUGAUUCUAAGCCGGCCGAUAGGCGUGGGUCGCUGCGAAGCUUAAAGAAUCGGCUACACAUGUAGAUGCGAUGUGCCGACGAUCUUCGGACAGGGGUUCAACUCCCCUCGCCUCCACCA
Molecule: transfer-messenger RNA, 266 nt
Filed under: Nitrospira sp.
Lineage: Bacteria; Pseudomonadati; Nitrospirota; Nitrospiria; Nitrospirales; Nitrospiraceae
Description: partial transfer-messenger RNA
Rfam family: transfer-messenger RNA
About the family: Bacterial tmRNA, also known as 10Sa RNA or SsrA, is named for its dual tRNA and mRNA-like properties.
Source: RNAcentral